UCUCUUCACAGCAAUAGAACAGUGACUAAGAA
This 32-nucleotide non-coding RNA is filed under the name Rattus norvegicus (Norway rat). The record is from RNAcentral. Lineage: Eukaryota; Metazoa; Chordata; Mammalia; Rodentia; Muridae.